GGGCUCGUAGUAUAGUGGCAAUACACCGCAUUCGCAUUGCGGAGACACGAGUUCGAUUCUCGUCGAGUCCA
Non-coding RNA from Candidatus Kaiserbacteria bacterium, 71 nucleotides. The record is from Rfam. NCBI's taxonomy places the organism in Bacteria, Candidatus Kaiseribacteriota.